AUUGAACGCUGGCGGCAGGCUUAACACAUGCAAGUCGAGCGGGGUGAUGGUGCUUGCACUAUCACUUAGCGGCGGACGGGUGAGUAAUGCUUAGGAAUCUGCCUAUUAGUGGGGGACAACAUCUCGAAAGGGAUGCUAAUACCGCAUACGUCCUACGGGAGAAAGCAGGGGAUCACUUGUGACCUUGCGCUAAUAGAUGAGCCUAAGUCGGAUUAGCUAGUUGGUGGGGUAAAGGCCUACCAAGGCGACGAUCUGUAGCGGGUCUGAGAGGAGGAUCCGCCACACUGGGACUGAGGCUCGGCCCAGGCUCCUACGGGAGGUAGCAGUGGGGGAUAUUGGACAAUGGGGGGAACCCUGAUCCAGCCAUGCCGCGUGUGUGAAGAAGGCCUUAUGGUUGUAAAGCACUUUAAGCGAGGAGGAGGCUCUUUUGGUUAAUACCCAAGAUGAGUGGACGUUACUCGCAGAAUAAGCACCGGCUAACUCUGUGCCAGCCGCCGCCGUAA
This 503-nucleotide ribosomal RNA is filed under the name uncultured bacterium. RNAcentral describes it as "partial 16S ribosomal RNA". It matches the Rfam family "Bacterial small subunit ribosomal RNA", at positions 30 to 523 of the family's 1533-position model. The record is from RNAcentral.